Molecule: ribosomal RNA, 317 nt
Filed under: Myrrha octodecimguttata
Lineage: Eukaryota; Metazoa; Arthropoda; Insecta; Coleoptera; Coccinellidae
Description: partial 12S ribosomal RNA
Source: RNAcentral
UUAAAUGUAAAUUAAUAAGCUAAGUGAUUAAUAGUUAAGUUCUUUAAAGCUAAAUGAUUUGGCGGUAUUUUAAUCUUUUCAGAGGAACCUGUUCAGUUAUCGAUAAUCCACGAUUUAAUUAACUUAAAUUAGAAACUUUUAUAUCGUCGUUAUUAAAUAUUUUAUAAGAAUUAAAUAUUUAAAAUUUCUUUAUUAAGAAAAAAAUCAGAUCAAGGUGAAGUUUAUAUUUAAGAUGAGAUGGGUUACAUUAAAUUAUAUUUAUGGAUUUUAAAUUUUAAAAAUUUUAUGAAAUUGGAUUUGAAAGUAAUUAGUUAAAA